GGGGGCGUAAUGGUUUCGACGGGAUUGUUGAGACUUGAGUAGCGGGUAGAGGAUUCUCGUUGGCCUCUUAAAAAACGAGAGAUUAAAAAUAAACGCUAAAAACGAUUACGCAUUAGCUGCUGCCUAAUAUAGGCAGCCCGUCAGUCCGGGGUUCCUGCACCUUGGGUAGCUGGCGUCAUUAAGUCAGGCCUUUUGAGUCGGAAGGUUAAACUCUAGCACUGGUUCAGUGGUAGCCUUGAGCUGAACCGGAACUAAAAGGAUACUGAACUGCAGAGUCUGCCGAUAGACUUGGCAGGGAUGGAAAGGGCACCGAGGCAUUCCUCGGUUGCCGCAAUUUAUCGGAUACACCCGUAGAAGCUCUUGUGGAUACGGUUUCGGACAGGGGUUCGACUCCCCUCGCCUCCACCA
Molecule: transfer-messenger RNA, 408 nt
Filed under: Clostridium thermosuccinogenes
Lineage: Bacteria; Bacillati; Bacillota; Clostridia; Eubacteriales; Clostridiaceae
Description: Pseudoclostridium thermosuccinogenes Standard tmRNA
Rfam family: transfer-messenger RNA
About the family: Bacterial tmRNA, also known as 10Sa RNA or SsrA, is named for its dual tRNA and mRNA-like properties. Its role is to liberate the mRNA from a stalled ribosome.
Source: Rfam by way of RNAcentral